RNAcentral lists this ribosomal RNA (774 nucleotides) under uncultured Neocallimastigales. RNAcentral describes it as "partial large subunit ribosomal RNA". It matches the Rfam family "Eukaryotic large subunit ribosomal RNA", at positions 24 to 644 of the family's 3401-position model. Lineage: Eukaryota; Fungi; Neocallimastigomycota; Neocallimastigomycetes; Neocallimastigales. The record is from RNAcentral.
UAUCUCUGUAGAGUCUGCAUAUCAAUAAGCGGAGGAAAAGAAACUAACAAGGAUUCCCCUAGUAACGGCGAGUGAAGCGGGAAGAGCUCAAAUUUGAAAUCUUCAAGGUUCUACCUUGACGAAUUGUAGUUUAAAGAAGUGUUUUCUGUUAGAUGAGUAGCAAAAGUUCCUUGGAAUGGGACAUCAUAGAGGGUGAGAAUCCCGUAUUUGGUUAUUCAUUCUAGCUUUGUGAUACACUUUCAAAGAGUCGGAUUGUUUGGGAAUGCAGUCCAAAAUGGGUGGUAAAUUUCAUCUAAAGCUAAAUAUUGGCGAGAGACCGAUAGCGAACAAGUACCGUGAGGGAAAGAUGAAAAGAACUUUGAAAAGAGAGUUAAACAGUACGUGAAAUUGUCAAAAGGGAAGCGUUUGACACCAGUGUUGUUUUUCCGAAAAUCAAUUACGAAUGGCUUGAUUUUGUGUUGUAUUGACCUUAUCAGCUUUCUUCACUUUUUUCGAGUCUUUCCUAAUGCACUUUUCGGUUAACAAGUCAACACCAAUUCCUUUUGUUGUAAAAGAGUAUUCGGAAGGUGGCUUUCUUUUCGGAGAAAGUGUUUAUAGCCCUAUACUUCUACAAUCGGAGAGAUUGAGGUCUGCAGCGUAGAUCCUUCGGGGUUAGAUACACUUGUGCUAAGUUGUAGCUUUUCAUAGACAACUUGUUGACUAUGUUUAGUCAUGCGGCUUACUCGCUUAUGCUAUUUUACCUACGCUUAGGAUGUUGACUGAUAUGUAGUCGUA